GAGCGCCGUAUGAGGUGAAAGUCUCACGUACGGUGUGGAGUGGGGGAAAAGGUAGAGAUAACUUCAAAUCCUUACCUAUCACUAA
Molecule: non-coding RNA, 85 nt
Filed under: Bacillus sp. cl115
Lineage: Bacteria; Bacillati; Bacillota; Bacilli; Caryophanales; Bacillaceae
Also listed under: 2 other names
Source: RNAcentral